GGAGCUGUGGCAUAGUGGGUUAAAGCCACCACCUGCAGGGCUGGCAUCCCAUAUGGGCCUUGGUUCGAGUCCUGGCUGCUCCA
This 83-nucleotide transfer RNA is filed under the name Oryctolagus cuniculus (rabbit). It matches the Rfam family "tRNA". From Rfam's summary of the family: Transfer RNA (tRNA) molecules are approximately 80 nucleotides in length. Their secondary structure includes four short double-helical elements and three loops (D, anti-codon, and T loops). The record is from Rfam by way of RNAcentral. Lineage: Eukaryota; Metazoa; Chordata; Mammalia; Lagomorpha; Leporidae.